Molecule: long non-coding RNA, 3150 nt
Filed under: Lupinus angustifolius (narrow-leaved blue lupine)
Lineage: Eukaryota; Viridiplantae; Streptophyta; Magnoliopsida; Fabales; Fabaceae
Description: long non-coding RNA (LANG_LNC003214)
Source: RNAcentral
CUCUAUGUAUUGGAGACAAUUAGCCACAAUUACAGACAAUAUUUUACUUUCUUAAAGUAUGUAACUCUUUCCAAUUCAAAUUUGUGGCAUUAUAGGUUGGCACAUGCCUCCAACACUUGUAUGGAUACUAUAAAGACUAGCUUUCCUUUUGUAACUUUCACUAAAAAUCAUAUUUGUGAUGUCUGCCAUUUAUCAAAACAGAAAAGACUAAGCUUCCCUAUUAGCCAAACACAAUCACUAUUUGUUUUUGACAUGAUACAUGUAGAUAUUUGAGGGCCCAUUUCAACCAUAUCUGUACAUGGACAUAAAAAAUUUCUAACCAUUAUUAAUGAUAAGUCAAGGUACACAUGGGUUUUUCUGCUUAAUAACAAAGGUGGGGCAAGAAAGAGGUUGCAAGACUUCAUCCUUAUGAUCACAACACAAUUCUCCAUCAAAGUUAAAAUUGUGAGAAGUGACAAUGGUGCUGAGUUUGCCAUGAAUUCUUUUUAUUCUGAGCAGGGCAUCAAACACCAAACAUCAUGUAAAUACACACCUCAAUAGAAUAGUAUGGUGGAAAGAAAACACCAACACUUGUUGAAUGUAGCAAGAGCACUCUUGAUUCAAAGCCAAGUUCCUAAGUUGUAUUGGUCCUAUGCUAUCCGACAUGUUGUGCACAUCAUCAACUUAUUGCCAACACUAGUCUUGCAACACAAAUCACCUAAUGAGGUCUUGUACAAGUCCAAACCUGACAUUGAGCACCUAAGAGUUUUUGGGUCACUCUGCUUCACAAGCACCCUGCCAAUUCACAGAUCUAAGCUUGAUCCCAAGGCAAGUAAGUGCAUAUUCCUAAGUUACAAAGAAGGAACAAAAGGUUAUGUGGUACUCCACUUGAAUUCCACGACACUUUGUGUGAGUAGAGAUGUAAUUUUCCAUGAAACAAUUUUCUCAUACCACACCUUAGCUUAAUAACUCCAGCUUGUAACCCAAGUGGCGAUAUACUCUGUAUUACUGUUCUUUUACAAUUGUAUGCAACUCUUUAACGUAAGCCUUUAUAAAGGCAUCUGUCUUGGAAGCAUCAAACUGGAACACGGCACAAAAUAAAUAUAAGGUUAAGAAAAUAUAAUAAUUAAAAGAGUAAAUUACACUAACACCUCCUGAAUUUUAGUGAAAUUACACAAAUCAUCCCUAACUUUUCUACACAUAUCCAAACCCCCUAAUUUUUAUACUUUUAUUGCACUUAUCACACCUGCAUGAGAAAUAAAUGUAAUAUUUCAAACAAAAAAUGUGAUAAAUGCAAUUAAGUUAAAAAAAUAUGGUAUAUUAUGGAGACAAGUCCAAAUAAUAUACAAAUCAAUGUAUCAUUAUUUAUUUUUUACAAAAUGCAUCACCAAUUCAAAAGAGAUAUUAUUUAAAUUACUCUUAUAUUAUAUCGUAACGAACCAUGAAUAAUAAAGAGUUAUUGACUCAUAUAUUAUUUGGACUUGUCUCUACGAUAUACCAUGUUUUGUUUAACUAAAUUGCAUUUAUCACAUUUUUUGUUUCAAAGAUUACACUUAUUCCAUGUGUAGGGGUGGUCACUAUAAUGAAAGUAUAAAAAUUUAUGAGGUUUGUGUAGGUGUACAAAAGUGAGAGGUGAUUUAUGUAAUUUCGCUAAAACUCGUGGGGUGUCAUUGUAAGUUACUCAAAAUAAAAUACGCUAGAGUAACGAUUCAACAACGCUCAUUUUUAGAUUCAACAAAGCCCGAAAGUGAUAUCUAUGUGAGCAUAGUAAAAUGUCGGUUUGUUCAACAACGCAAACACGAUCACUUAUUACAUUUAACAACAUUCAGCUAACAAGCGUUGUUGAAUGACCGUUGUUAAAUAUGAAUUUUUUUUAGUAUAUAUAUGUGUGCAAGAGAAGCUUACUAGUUGCAAUCAAUCUUAGAGUCAAGAUCAAAUGGUAAAUUGAUGUUGCACAACUUGGAGAGUUGUUUGGAACGGUCAUAAACAUUCACAAAGAGCUCUUCAAUUUUGAAUAGAUGUAGCUGCUUCGAAAAUUGAUUUAGCUCCUAAGCAACAAGAUGCAGAAGGUUGUCCAGGACCAGAUCCUUGUAAAAAUGGAACACAUGGCAAUAUAAGUGGUCCAGCGUCACCACAUGUUAUGUCAUUGAUUUGGCUUGUAUCGGAUGGAACAUCCAACAAACCCAAAAUCAUCACUCACAAGUGACAACAAAAAAAAGUUGCCACUGUUUUCUCCAUCAUCAUAUUUUUCAAUAUCUAUGCUUCUUUUAGUUUCCCUCAAGUUGAGAUUACAGAUUAGAUACAUCACUAAUUUAUAGCCAAAUUAUGUUGGAAAUGUAUAGCAAUCAAGUAAAUUUGAAUGAUAAAUAUAAAUAUAUUAAAUUUAAUUUAAAUAUUUUCUAUCUAUUUCCAUUAAUGUGAAAUAUUUUGUCAUAUAUAUACACUGACAUAAAUAUAGUUUAUGGCUUUAUGCAUAACUAAUAUAUUUUAUUAAUCAAUUAUUCAUUUGGGAAAUAUUAAUAAUGAAUUGGAAUAAUUUUAAAUUCGUUAAUAGUAUUUCCAAUAUGUUGGUAUAUUUCCAAAAAAAAAAUCUAUAUAGUCCAUGUACAUUUUAAAAUGUUGUUUCCAUAAACAGUUAAUAGCAUCAAAUGAAUAACAUCACACCUAUUACCAAGAUGUUGGUGUAAUAGUGUAAGAUCCUACUGGAUCUCCAAGGUCGAGGGUUCGAUUCCUGAGAGUGAUACUUGUUGAGAGGGGCAAUCUGAAUCCUGCAAAUAAUUAGUUCUUUACCAAAAAGAUGAGGGAAUAUUUUAGUAAUACAAACAAAUGAAAAACACAUUGUUACUGGUUGCAAAGGCCAAAUUAAAAUCACAAUAUGUUUUUGAUAAUCAACAUGCUCUAUUUGGGUGGUUUCUCUGAUUUUUUUUAUAAUCAACAUCCUCUAUUUGCAGAAUUAAAUGCGGCUUUGAUGGCGAUUCAAUUUGCUAAUCAAAAGGGGUGGAAUCAUAUCUGAUUGGAGUGUGACUCCCUUUUGGUUACUCAAAUGUUUAAUGGCUUAAUUAACAUUCAUUGGAAGCUCAUGAACAAAUGGCGAUUAUGCAAAGAUUUGAUGAACUCCAUGGAUUGCUGGAUCACACACAUUGGAGGGAAAUGCUUGUGCGGAUAGUCUUG